GCCCAGCCUGAGCGCGUGCCGUACAGCGUGUCCCGCGCGCGCACAGACAGCGGAGAGAGAGAGAGAGCUGCACUGCUGCACGAGACCGUCCACUGCAGAACACGCACGGCUCGCGACUCGGAGCGGCUUUUAAAAACUCCGACCAUUAGAAAUAAUAAAACACCGGCGGCUGGUCGGGAUACGGAGCGGGAGGAGGGUCAACCGCCCAGAAACCGGCAGACGAAGACGACAGUGUGUUGAAGAGUCCUGGCUUUGUCUCUCUGAUCCGCUCUCUGUCCUGUGAUGCCGGGCUGUGGGUGAGUCUGUGCCCGCAACCAGACUGAAGCUGGGGAAACUAAAAGUGGUGCGGCGGCAGCUGCUGCAAAGAUAUGAACACCAGCCCUUUGUCUCCUGCCUGGCUGGACUCUAUGGCUGCCAGUGGAGGAGGUACCAAAGAGCGCGGGCGCAGCCAGGAGAGUGCUGCUGCAGCAAG
Long non-coding RNA from Fundulus heteroclitus (mummichog), 472 nucleotides. RefSeq lists it as uncharacterized. The transcript has 3 exons. NCBI's taxonomy places the organism in Eukaryota, Metazoa, Chordata, Actinopteri, Cyprinodontiformes, Fundulidae. The record is from RefSeq and is a predicted model, not a curated record.